Molecule: long non-coding RNA, 4590 nt
Organism: Chinchilla lanigera (long-tailed chinchilla)
Lineage: Eukaryota; Metazoa; Chordata; Mammalia; Rodentia; Chinchillidae
Exons: 3
Source: RefSeq, a predicted model, not a curated record
AUGAUCCUCCUGCCUCAGCCUCCGGAGUGCUGGGAUUACAGGUAUGUGCUACCACACCCGCUCUGAUGUUAACUCAAAAGUCAACCUCAAAAACCCUGGAGUGGAGGGUGGCCUGCAGAAUGGGGAGUUUCCGCCGGUCAGAAUGAGGAGUUUCUGCCGGUCAGAAUGGGAAGUGGAGACAGUGGUGAGGGCGAGGGCCCUGGAGCCCCGCUGAAGCUAUCUGAGUAGGUCCUUGGUUUCUGAGUCUUACCUUCUGAGUUUAUACAAAUACAGAGAGUUGCCUGGCUUGGAGAACUAGAUCAGACUGUGGGCAGCCGGAGCAGCCGGUUCAGUCUCUGCUCCUCAGGAGACCUCCACCCCUCUCCUCUACUUCCCAGUGGCUCUCCCUGGGGCUUUGGCACUGCUUCCUGAUUUUGUUUCCUGGGACUUCAGCAUGGAUCAGGCACAGGCGCAGCCCACCCAGACAGUACCCUCAACAGGUGGCACUUUGUAGCAUGGCAGAAGGACGGGGACAGGUAGACUCAGGGGCCCCGGGGAACUGCAACCUGCAGACAACUUCCCAUGUCAGUGUGGGCACUAUCAAGCGCCAUCUGAGCUCACCCUGGGAUACUGAGUCUUAGAUUCAAGAUCAACAAACACAAUUAGUUUAGAACAGCUCGGUUUGCUUUUAGCUGUUCUUGUUUUCACUUACUGAAUCCAAACUCUACUUUCUUGCCACCCCAAAUUUCUUUUGGUUCUCGCCUGUGCUAUCCCUUGGCCCGUACUGUUUUUAUUGAGCAUUUCUUCUCUGUACUCAGCCAACUCCUUCCUAGGAGCCAGCCCCAUAGUCAGACAGCCCCUCCUGUGGGAAGCCCCAGGGAUGCCGGCCUGGUGUCCCCGUGUGAGCACACACACACACAGCUGUGCCCGGCUCUACUGCAACUGCGGGUUACACUGGCUUGCGGAGCUGAGUCCACUCUCCUCCUCCCCGCUUGGCCCGAAUGAGCUCCAUGCAAAGGAGGACCGUGUCACCUAUCUCUGUCUCAUUGUCUCCGGGGCCAAGCGUAAUGGCUGGCACUCAGUAGGGACUCUGAAUGGAAGAGAACUAAGUUUUCCUACUCUAGGGCAGAAAGGAGAAAGCCAUAGAAAGAGAAGACAUAUCAGGGAUGGGAGAACAUCAGAGACAAGCUAGCAGCACUUAGGCAGACGAAAGAAAUCACUCCACUGCAACAAGGAGUGGGGGACGGACUGGUAAGUGUUUCAAGAAGGCAAAUGGCCAGAGAGGAAGAAACUGCGGCAGCCAGAUGGAGUGGGUGGCUGAGCUUCUGGUAACUUUAGAGCUCUUCUAGCGCCUCCUAUCAACAGCCUGCACCCCUGGGCCGCCUUGUACCGGGAGCAGCUACUCGGGAAGAUGCAAGGGCAUUCUGGGCUUGGCAGUUCAUCCAGCUGCUCCUUCCCCGCUCGAUGGAAUUGGCUAAACCGAGGCUGCUAGAGGACUUCGCGUAUUUUCCAGGUGCCCCAUUUUAUUACCAGAUAAAUGAAUUAGGGAGUAACAUAGCCAGCUGAAGUUGUCAGAGUUCAUUAACAGAUAUGAUGACUUUCAGAGCUCCCUUUAGGACCUUAUAAAUCAUUCUGGAGGUUCUUACCUUUAUCUCAUUAUUUGAAAAGGUAACUUGAGAGGCCGCUUCCCUGCUCUUAAAGUGACCUCUAGAGAAGUCCACCUGGACCGAUAGAUCAUGCCAGAUUCCAAACUGCACUUACAGUCUGCCAGCAAAGCAGCACCCCGUGGCCCUUUCUCUAUUCAUCCCCAAGCCGGCUGCCUGAGGGGGCCUUGGGAAGCCACACACCAAGGGCUUCAGAGGCCUGUCCCAUUGUGUGGAUGACACAGCCAUUAGUAACCAUGGCAACUUCCCUUCCUGGCUGUGGCACUUCACAGGUCUAAAUGUGCACAGGACUCUUCCAGAUUUGGGGAGCCAAGCAGAGCGGCGCCUGGCUUGAGCCACAAACCAAGGCAAAUAUGAGGAAGCACUUUCAGCAGUGAACACAAAGCAUGUGGAGGAUGUGUUGUUGUUCUAACAGUUGUGACGGGACUCCACAAGGACGGCCCCAAAGGCCAGGGGAGGGAGUCAGGAGCGGUGAGAUCCAAUCAGACUGCUCACGGUCCCUGCGUGCACAGAGCCCUCCCACCCCUCUCCAACAGCGCCUAUGCCCUUGGUUCCUGGCCCUGUGCUUCUCCCUCCUUUGCUCCUGCCGCCACUUCCCGGCCAGUACUGCUUUUGGCCCAGGCCAGUGCAGUCCAGCCGGAGCUCCUCUGGGACAAGCCUGUCCUGACCACUGCCCCUCCACACGAGGACGCCUUUCCUGGCCACGCUCCAGCUCUUCCUCUGCCUUGCUUUCUCCAAAGCAUGCUUAUAGCUGACAUUCCACUAUCUGUUUUGUGGCUAAAGGAGGAGGGGGCAUCUCUUCACUCCUUUAUUUCUUGUCUCUCCCCCCAGAAUUGUGCUGCCCCCUGUGGCAGCCACCAGCCAUGCAUGGUUCUUUGAAUUUAAAUGAACUGAAAUGAAGUCAAAUUAAAUAUGCAGGUCCUCGGUCAUACUAGCCAUGCUCAACAGCAUGGCUGUUCUGAUGCUCAACAGCCAAACGCAGGCUGUUAUACUAAACAGGGUGAGACCUCUCCAUCCUUGUUGGAAGUUCUAGUAAACAAUGCUGAGCUAGAAUAUGGACUCUGUCAGGGAAGAAAGCUUCCAGUGCAGCUUCCCCAGAGCCUAGAACAGAGCCUUGCCCACAGUCUGCUCAGACUGCUUCCCAUAAGCAUUGUCUGCAUAUGAAGCUACCUACAGGUGGGGACUGCAGCUCACAGAGCAUGCUGAGGUAUGGUGAAACACCUUUUGAAUGUUCAGGGGUGCAUGUGCAUGUGUGUGAGUGUGCUGGGGUUAUACGUGCAGAGGAAUGCUGUAAAAGGAAGAUCCUAAGGUUCUGUGUGAGGGACUACUGACAGAGAACGUGGUUAAAUGUGCACAUACUGGCCAAGAGGUCUGGGGUGUCUGAGUUAGAAUUUGAGAGAGAGAGAGAGAGAGAGGGCAAAAAGACUCCAUUCCUGCAGGAAUGGGUGCUGGGGAGAGACCUUUCUUAUAGAAAAUUCCCAAAUCCAGAAUAUUCUAACCUGUUAAAAGUGGGCCAAAGAGAUAAGGUCAAAUUGUGUGGAGCCUCUCUAGGUUCCAAUAACUGUGGUUCAAACCCACGAGUCUCUUCCAAAAUUUACUCAGCAGCCUGGCAUCCAAACUGGGGUGGAUUAAGAGGAAGCAAAGAGAAGAGAAAGAAGCAAACAAGAGAGGGCUCUUGGAGCCUCUGAAGGAUCCAUCUCUGAGAGCCCGCGGGAGGACCUUCAAGAAGUCUUCCUGCUGGAGCACAGUCCUGCCACGACAAGGGGUGAAGUGUCCGUGGUGCAGAACACGCUGGCCUCUGGCUGCUGUCCUCUUGCUGUGAGCCACCAGCAAGGUCAGGCCUGCUACCAGCGUGAUGCUUCAUGUGCUUUGAGCAGUCUUCUGGUUCCGAUGUGCACUGGUCAAAGUUGGCAACAAUAAAAAGUGAACAAAUGAAAUAUAUUGUAGGACUAAGUUCCAACGUCCUUUCCAGUUGGGUAGCAAAUGGCCUGAUGGGUUGGCUACAAGUUGUGGGUCUUGUACCCAGCCAGCUUCCCACAGGUCUGACCUGUACAGGCACAGUAAUGCCAACUUGAAGAAGCCUCACUCACUCCAAGGGAUCAGCAGGGUGUGAUGUCCCUGUCCUCAGGGGGUUGCCCGAGCCAGCCAGAACAAAGCACACUGGAGUUCCAAGUCCUGCUGCCUAGGGGAGGUGGGGUAAGAGUUUCCUUCGUGAGGACCCUUCCCCAUCUGCCCCUUUCUGGUGGGGGUCUCAGCAGCCUUCAGGAUAACCAGGAGUGUGGCAGGGAUGCGUUACACAGAAAGGAGCCGAACCACCUACGAUACUCUUUCCUUCUCUGUAUGUUGCCGACACUGACUCAGUUUCUGUUUUACCCACUAUGACAGUUCCCGUGUGCCUGAAAGAAACCCUACCAUGAAUAAGAAAGGACAAAAUCUUGGAGUGCAGAAUAUAAAGGGAAAAUGACAUGGGCAGAUGUAGUUCUGGCACUGAGGACCCGGAUGUGGACAGACAGACAGAAGUCACUGCUCUUGGAGAGCUUAUUAUGGAAAAGAGCCAAGCAGGGAAGACGGGAGAGGGCUGGAGUGGGGGAUGACGGGGACUCCAAGCACAGCAGUCAGGGCCUGCUCUCCGUGAUGGGGGACAGAGGAGCAUCUGGAUGUUGUGGUGCUAACAGUUUAUAAAGCACAGGGUAGUCAGUAUUCAUUUUGCAGGGCAGGGUGGAUACAAGUGUCACAGGGGAGGCAAUGUUCCUCUUCUUGGAAACCCAAUUGUGACAACUGCUGCUGAUGACAAUUCUCCAUAAUCUCUUGAGGAGUCUAUUUCAACUCUGAAAAGCAAGUGUGAUUAGCCUCAAUCUGCCAACAAAAGGACCCAGACCAAGCAAGAUACAAAGUCAGCACUCAAAAAUCAAUAUCCUUCCUGUACACAAAUAACAAACUCACUGAG